This 460-nucleotide ribosomal RNA is filed under the name uncultured bacterium. RNAcentral's name for it is "partial 16S ribosomal RNA". It matches the Rfam family "Bacterial small subunit ribosomal RNA", at positions 338 to 795 of the family's 1533-position model. The record is from RNAcentral.
CCUACGGGAGGCAGCAGUGAGGAAUAUUGGUCAAUGGGCUUACGCCUGAACCAGCCAAGUCGCGUGAGGGAAGACUGCCCUAUGGGUUGUAAACCUCUUUUGUCAGGGAGCAACGCCGGCUACGUGUAGCCGGCCUGCCAGUACCUGCAGACAAAGCAUCGGCUAACGCCGUGCCAGCAGCCGCGGUAAUACGGGGGAUGCGAGCGUUAGCCGGAUUUAUUGGGUUUAAAGGGUGCGUAGGCGGAAUGCCAAGUCAGCGGUAAAAUCGCGGGGCUCAACCUCGCCCCGCCGUUGAAACUGGGGGUCUGGAGUGGGCGAGAAGUAGGCGGAAUGCGUGGUGUAGCGGUGAAAUGCAUAGAUAUCACGCAGAACUCCGAUUGCGAAGGCAGCAUACCGGGGGCGAACUGACGCUGAAGCACGAAAGCGUGGGUAUCGAACAGGAUUAGAUACCCUUGUAGUC